GACGAACGCUGGCGGCGUGCUUAACACAUGCAAGUCGAACGGAAAGGCCCUGCUUUUGUGGGGUGCUCGAGUGGCGAACGGGUGAGUAACACGUGAGUAACCUGCCCUUGACUUUGGGAUAACUUCAGGAAACUGGGGCUAAUACCGGAUAGGAGCUCCUGCUGCAUGGUGGGGGUUGGAAAGUUUCGGCGGUUGGGGAUGGACUCGCGGCUUAUCAGCUUGUUGGUGGGGUAGUGGCUUACCAAGGCUUUGACGGGUAGCCGGCCUGAGAGGGUGACCGGCCACAUUGGGACUGAGAUGCGGCCCAGACUCCUACGGGAGGCAGCAGUGGGGAAUAUUGCACAAUGGGCGGAAGCCUGAUGCAGCAACGCCGCGUGCGGGAUGAUGGCCUUCGGGUUGUAAACCGCUUUCGCCUGUGACGAAGCGUGAGUGACGGUAAUGGGUAAAGAAGCACCGGCUAACUACGUG
This 468-nucleotide ribosomal RNA is filed under the name uncultured bacterium. RNAcentral describes it as "partial 16S ribosomal RNA". It matches the Rfam family "Bacterial small subunit ribosomal RNA", at positions 28 to 507 of the family's 1533-position model. The record is from RNAcentral.